RNAcentral lists this unclassified non-coding RNA (218 nucleotides) under chlamydia-associated clinical sample 198-T. RNAcentral's name for it is "intergenic spacer region". The record is from RNAcentral.
CUUUCUAAGGAAGGCGAAAGUAUCUGGAGAGCAGCGAUGCUAACACAAGGGGUUGAGAGCCAAGCGAAGCCCAAGAACUUGAUUGUUUGAGGCAAUAAGCACUCAAGAGUUAGGACAUUGAAAACUGAAUAUAAUCAAAGCAAAAACCGACACAAUCAAAGAACAGAUUGAAAAAAAGAGCGCCGAGAGAAGAGAGAAGCUCAACUUGAAUAGGUCAA